CUAAAAAUAAGCUAAAAUAAAUUAAAGCUAUUGGGCUCAUAACUCAAAAAUGAUUGAAAUCUUCUUAGA
Molecule: transfer RNA, 69 nt
Filed under: Achatinella fulgens
Lineage: Eukaryota; Metazoa; Mollusca; Gastropoda; Stylommatophora; Achatinellidae
Description: tRNA-Met
Source: RNAcentral